GUACUAGCACCCAAGGCACCCAACGGUAGAAAGCUCGCCAGCAACAUCCGAGCUCCUCUUAGAUGGAGAGCUACCCCUCUCCACCAGACACCUCAAUCGAGCUUCGGCCGACAGGCCUGGACUCCCUGGCAGGCCACAGUAAUGGCCGCGACUCUGCUCCACUUCCUAUAACGGAUCCCACGCGGCUCCAUCAUGCUCUGGCAAGUCACGA
RNAcentral lists this long non-coding RNA (211 nucleotides) under Elaeis guineensis (African oil palm). RNAcentral's name for it is "long non-coding RNA (EGUI_LNC072767)". The record is from RNAcentral. Lineage: Eukaryota; Viridiplantae; Streptophyta; Magnoliopsida; Arecales; Arecaceae.